This 497-nucleotide ribosomal RNA is filed under the name uncultured bacterium. Its description in RNAcentral is "partial 16S ribosomal RNA". It matches the Rfam family "Bacterial small subunit ribosomal RNA", at positions 28 to 507 of the family's 1533-position model. The record is from RNAcentral.
GAUGAACGCUGGCGGCGUGCCUAAUACAUGCAAGUCGAGCGAACAGAUGAGGAGCUUGCUCCUCUGACGUUAGCGGCGGACGGGUGAGUAACACGUGGAUAACCUACCUAUAAGACUGGGAUAACUUCGGGAAACCGGAGCUCAUACCGGAUAAUAUAUUGAACCGCAUGGUUCAAUAGUGAAAGACGGUUUUGCUGUCACUUAUAGAUGGAUCCGCGCCGCAUUAGCUAGUUGGUAAGGUAACGGCUUACCAAGGCAACGAUGCGUAGCCGACCUGAGAGGGUGAUCGGCCACACUGGAACUGAGACACGGUCCAGACUCCUACGGGAGGCAGCAGUAGGGAAUCUUCCGCAAUGGGCGCAAGCCUGACGGAGCAACGCCGCGUGAGUGAUGAAGGUCUUCGGAUCGUAAAACUCUGUUAUUAGGGAAGAACAAAUGUGUAAGUAACUAUGCACGUCUUGACGGUACCUAAUCAGAAAGCCACGGCUAACUACGUG